Non-coding RNA from Oleiphilus sp. HI0009, 82 nucleotides. The record is from Rfam. Lineage: Bacteria; Pseudomonadati; Pseudomonadota; Gammaproteobacteria; Oceanospirillales; Oleiphilaceae.
GCGAAAGUGGCGGAAUUGGUAGACGCGCUGGAUUUAGGUUCCAGUAUCGCAAGAUGUGAGAGUUCGAGUCUCUCCUUUCGCA